RNAcentral lists this unclassified non-coding RNA (197 nucleotides) under Basidiomycota sp. RNAcentral's name for it is "partial contains small subunit ribosomal RNA, internal transcribed spacer 1, and 5.8S ribosomal RNA". The stretch from base 1 to 47 matches the Rfam family "Eukaryotic small subunit ribosomal RNA", at positions 1785 to 1831 of the family's 1831-position model. The record is from RNAcentral. Lineage: Eukaryota; Fungi; Basidiomycota.
AAAGUCGUAACAAGGUUUCCGUAGGUGAACCUGCGGAAGGAUCAUUAAUAAACGGCGAUGCUUUACAGCUGAGCUUUAUAUACCAUCCUAUACACCUGUGAACUAUUUGCCCUCGGGCAUCAUAUACAAACAUAAUGUAAUGCAUGUAAUCUACUAUAAAGUUAAUACAACUUUCAACAACGGAUCUCUUGGCUCUC